GAUGAACGCUGGCGGCGUGCCUAAUACAUGCAAGUCGAGCGAACAGACGAGGAGCUUGCUCCUCUGACGUUAGCGGCGGACGGGUGAGUAACACGUGGAUAACCUACCUAUAAGACUGGGAUAACUUCGGGAAACCGGAGCUAAUACCGGAUAAUAUAUUGAACCGCAUGGUUCAAUAGUGAAAGACGGUUUUGCUUUCACUUAUAGAUGGAUCCGCGCCGCAUUAGCUAGUUGGUAAGGUAACGGCUUACCAAGGCGACGAUGCGUAGCCGACCUGAGAGGGUGAUAGGCCACACUGGAACUGAAACACGGUCCAGACUCCUACGGGAGGCACCAGUAGGGAAUCUUCCGCAAUGGGCGAAAGCCUGACGGAGCAACGCCGCGUGGGUGAUGAAGGUCUUCGGAUCGUAAGACUCUGUUAUUAGGGAAGAACAAAUGUGUAAGUAACUAUGCACGUCUUGACGGUACCUAAUCAGAAAGCCACGGCUAACUACGUG
Molecule: ribosomal RNA, 497 nt
Filed under: uncultured bacterium
Lineage: Bacteria
Description: partial 16S ribosomal RNA
Rfam family: Bacterial small subunit ribosomal RNA
Source: RNAcentral